UUAAGUUAUUAAGGGCGCACGGUGGAUGCCUUGGCACUAGAAGCCGAUGAAGGACGUUACUAACGACGAUAUGCUUUGGGGAGCUGUAAGUAAGCUUUGAUCCAGAGAUUUCCGAAUGGGGAAACCCAGCAUGAGUUAUGUCAUGUUAUCGAUAUGUGAAUACAUAGCAUAUCAGAAGGCACACCCGGAGAACUGAAACAUCUUAGUACCCGGAGGAAGAGAAAGAAAAUUCGAUUCCCUUAGUAGCGGCGAGCGAAACGGGAAGAGCCCAAACCAAAAGCUUGCUUGUUGGGGUUGUAGGACACUCUAUACGGAGUUACAAAGGACGACAUUAGACGAAUCAUCUGGAAAGAUGAAUCAAAGAAGGUAAUAAUCCUGUAGUCGAAAAUGUUGUCUCUCUUGAGUGGAUCCUGAGUACGACGGAGCACGUGAAAUUCCGUCGGAAUCUGGGAGGACCAUCUCCUAAGGCUAAAUACUCUCUAGUGACCGAUAGUGAACCAGUACCGUGAGGGAAAGGUGAAAAGCACCCCGGAAGGGGAGUGAAAUAGAACCUGAAACCGUGUGCUUACAAGUAGUCAGAGCCCGUUAAUGGGUGAUGGCGUGCCUUUUGUAGAAUGAACCGGCGAGUUACGAUUUGAUGCAAGGUUAAGCAGUAAAUGUGGAGCCGUAGCGAAAGCGAGUCUGAAUAGGGCGUUUAGUAUUUGGUCGUAGACCCGAAACCAGGUGAUCUACCCUUGGUCAGGUUGAAGUUCAGGUAACACUGAAUGGAGGACCGAACCGACUUACGUUGAAAAGUGAGCGGAUGAACUGAGGGUAGCGGAGAAAUUCCAAUCGAACCUGGAGAUAGCUGGUUCUCUCCGAAAUAGCUUUAGGGCUAGCCUCAAGUGAUGAUUAUUGGAGGUAGAGCACUGUUUGGACGAGGGGCCCCUCUCGGGUUACCGAAUUCAGACAAACUCCGAAUGCCAAUUAAUUUAACUUGGGAGUCAGAACAUGGGUGAUAAGGUCCGUGUUCGAAAGGGAAACAGCCCAGACCACCAGCUAAGGUCCCAAAAUAUAUGUUAAGUGGAAAAGGAUGUGGCGUUGCCCAGACAACUAGGAUGUUGGCUUAGAAGCAGCCAUCAUUUAAAGAGUGCGUAAUAGCUCACUAGUCGAGUGACACUGCGCCGAAAAUGUACCGGGGCUAAACAUAUUACCGAAGCUGUGGAUUGUCCUUUGGACAAUGGUAGGAGAGCGUUCUAAGGGCGUUGAAGCAUGAUCGUAAGGACAUGUGGAGCGCUUAGAAGUGAGAAUGCCGGUGUGAGUAGCGAAAGACGGGUGAGAAUCCCGUCCACCGAUUGACUAAGGUUUCCAGAGGAAGGCUCGUCCGCUCUGGGUUAGUCGGGUCCUAAGCUGAGGCCGACAGGCGUAGGCGAUGGAUAACAGGUUGAUAUUCCUGUACCACCUAUAAUCGUUUUAAUCGAUGGGGGGACGCAGUAGGAUAGGCGAAGCGUGCGAUUGGAUUGCACGUCUAAGCAGUAAGGCUGAGUAUUAGGCAAAUCCGGUACUCGUUAAGGCUGAGCUGUGAUGGGGAGAAGACAUUGAGUCUUCGAGUCGUUGAUUUCACACUGCCGAGAAAAGCCUCUAGAUAGAAAAUAGGUGCCCGUACCGCAAACCGACACAGGUAGUCAAGAUGAGAAUUCUAAGGUGAGCGAGCGAACUCUCGUUAAGGAACUCGGCAAAAUGACCCCGUAACUUCGGGAGAAGGGGUGCUCUUUAGGGUUAACGCCCAGAAGAGCCGCAGUGAAUAGGCCCAAGCGACUGUUUAUCAAAAACACAGGUCUCUGCUAAACCGUAAGGUGAUGUAUAGGGGCUGACGCCUGCCCGGUGCUGGAAGGUUAAGAGGAGUGGUUAGCUUCUGCGAAGCUACGAAUCGAAGCCCCAGUAAACGGCGGCCGUAACUAUAACGGUCCUAAGGUAGCGAAAUUCCUUGUCGGGUAAGUUCCGACCCGCACGAAAGGCGUAACGAUUUGGGCACUGUCUCAACGAGAGACUCGGUGAAAUCAUAGUACCUGUGAAGAUGCAGGUUACCCGCGACAGGACGGAAAGACCCCGUGGAGCUUUACUGUAGCCUGAUAUUGAAAUUCGGCACAGCUUGUACAGGAUAGGUAGGAGCCUUUGAAACGUGAGCGCUAGCUUACGUGGAGGCGCUGGUGGGAUACUACCCUAGCUGUGUUGGCUUUCUAACCCGCACCACUUAUCGUGGUGGGAGACAGUGUCAGGCGGGCAGUUUGACUGGGGCGGUCGCCUCCUAAAAGGUAACGGAGGCGCUCAAAGGUUCCCUCAGAAUGGUUGGAAAUCAUUCAUAGAGUGUAAAGGCAUAAGGGAGCUUGACUGCGAGACCUACAAGUCGAGCAGGGUCGAAAGACGGACUUAGUGAUCCGGUGGUUCCGCAUGGAAGGGCCAUCGCUCAACGGAUAAAAGCUACCCCGGGGAUAACAGGCUUAUCUCCCCCAAGAGUUCACAUCGACGGGGAGGUUUGGCACCUCGAUGUCGGCUCAUCGCAUCCUGGGGCUGUAGUCGGUCCCAAGGGUUGGGCUGUUCGCCCAUUAAAGCGGUACGCGAGCUGGGUUCAGAACGUCGUGAGACAGUUCGGUCCCUAUCCGUCGUGGGCGUAGGAAAUUUGAGAGGAGCUGUCCUUAGUACGAGAGGACCGGGAUGGACAUACCUCUGGUGUACCAGUUGUCGUGCCAACGGCAUAGCUGGGUAGCUAUGUGUGGACGGGAUAAGUGCUGAAAGCAUCUAAGCAUGAAGCCCCCCUCAAGAUGAGAUUUCCCAACUUCGGUUAUAAGAUCCCUCAAAGAUGAUGAGGUUAAUAGGUUCGAGGUGGAAGCAUGGUGACAUGUGGAGCUGACGAAUACUAAUCGAUCGAAGACUUAAUCAA
This 2920-nucleotide ribosomal RNA is filed under the name Staphylococcus aureus subsp. aureus CIG1213. Its description in RNAcentral is "bacterial LSU rRNA". It matches the Rfam family "Bacterial large subunit ribosomal RNA". Lineage: Bacteria; Bacillati; Bacillota; Bacilli; Caryophanales; Staphylococcaceae. The record is from RNAcentral.